Molecule: ribosomal RNA, 2982 nt
Filed under: Salmonella enterica subsp. enterica serovar Alachua
Lineage: Bacteria; Pseudomonadati; Pseudomonadota; Gammaproteobacteria; Enterobacterales; Enterobacteriaceae
Description: bacterial LSU rRNA
Rfam family: Bacterial large subunit ribosomal RNA
Source: RNAcentral
UUAAGCGACUAAGCGUACACGGUGGAUGCCCUGGCAGUCAGAGGCGAUGAAGGGCGUGCUAAUCUGCGAUAAGCGCCGGUAAGGUGAUAUGAACCGUUAUAACCGGCGAUACCCGAAUGGGGAAACCCAGUGUGACUCGUCACACUAUCAUUAACUGAAUCCAUAGGUUAAUGAGGCGAACCGGGGGAACUGAAACAUCUAAGUACCCCGAGGAAAAGAAAUCAACCGAGAUUCCCCCAGUAGCGGCGAGCGAACGGGGAGGAGCCCAGAGCCUGAAUCAGCAUGUGUGUUAGUGGAAGCGUCUGGAAAGGCGCGCGAUACAGGGUGACAGCCCCGUACACAAAAGCGCAUGUGCUGUGAGCUCGAUGAGUAGGGCGGGACACGUGGUAUCCUGUCUGAAUAUGGGGGGACCAUCCUCCAAGGCUAAAUACUCCUGACUGACCGAUAGUGAACCAGUACCGUGAGGGAAAGGCGAAAAGAACCCCGGCGAGGGGAGUGAAAAAGAACCUGAAACCGUGUACGUACAAGCAGUGGGAGCACCUUCGGGUGUGACUGCGUACCUUUUGUAUAAUGGGUCAGCGACUUAUAUUCUGUAGCAAGGUUAACCGUAUAGGGGAGCCGGAGGGAAACCGAGUCUUAACCGGGCGUUAAGUUGCAGGGUAUAGACCCGAAACCCGGUGAUCUAGCCAUGGGCAGGUUGAAGGUUGGGUAACACUAACUGGAGGACCGAACCGACUAAUGUUGAAAAAUUAGCGGAUGACCUGUGGCUGGGGGUGAAAGGCCAAUCAAACCGGGAGAUAGCUGGUUCUCCCCGAAAGCUAUUUAGGUAGCGCCUCGUGAAUUCAUCUCCGGGGGUAGAGCACUGUUUCGGCUAGGGGGCCAUCCCGGCUUACCAACCCGAUGCAAACUGCGAAUACCGGAGAAUGUUAUCACGGGAGACACACGGCGGGUGCUAACGUCCGUCGUGAAGAGGGAAACAACCCAGACCGCCAGCUAAGGUCCCAAAGUCAUGGUUAAGUGGGAAACGAUGUGGGAAGGCCCAGACAGCCAGGAUGUUGGCUUAGAAGCAGCCAUCAUUUAAAGAAAGCGUAAUAGCUCACUGGUCGAGUCGGCCUGCGCGGAAGAUGUAACGGGGCUAAACCAUGCACCGAAGCUGCGGCAGCGAACGUAUCACUUAAAGCGAUUCAGCGGGUUACGAUUGACGGAGCGAAGCGACGUCAAAGCGUAUACAAAGUCGAGUCGGUUUAAGGAUACGUUCGUUGGGUAGGGGAGCGUUCUGUAAGCCUGUGAAGGUGGCCUGUGAGGGUUGCUGGAGGUAUCAGAAGUGCGAAUGCUGACAUAAGUAACGAUAAAGCGGGUGAAAAGCCCGCUCGCCGGAAGACCAAGGGUUCCUGUCCAACGUUAAUCGGGGCAGGGUGAGUCGACCCCUAAGGCGAGGCCGAAAGGCGUAGUCGAUGGGAAACAGGUUAAUAUUCCUGUACUUGGUGUUACUGCGAAGGGGGGACGGAGAAGGCUAUGUUGGCCGGGCGACGGUUGUCCCGGUUUAAGCGUGUAGGUGUGUGUUCCAGGUAAAUCCGGUUCACUUAACACUGAGGCGUGACGACGAGGCACUACGGUGCUGAAGCAACAAAUGCCCUGCUUCCAGGAAAAGCCUCUAAGCAUCAGGUAACAUCAAAUCGUACCCCAAACCGACACAGGUGGUCAGGUAGAGAAUACCAAGGCGCUUGAGAGAACUCGGGUGAAGGAACUAGGCAAAAUGGUGCCGUAACUUCGGGAGAAGGCACGCUGACACGUAGGUGAAGUGAUUUACUCAUGGAGCUGAAGUCAGUCGAAGAUACCAGCUGGCUGCAACUGUUUAUUAAAAACACAGCACUGUGCAAACACGAAAGUGGACGUAUACGGUGUGACGCCUGCCCGGUGCCGGAAGGUUAAUUGAUGGGGUCAGCGCAAGCGAAGCUCCUGAUCGAAGCCCCGGUAAACGGCGGCCGUAACUAUAACGGUCCUAAGGUAGCGAAAUUCCUUGUCGGGUAAGUUCCGACCUGCACGAAUGGCGUAAUGAUGGCCAGGCUGUCUCCACCCGAGACUCAGUGAAAUUGAACUCGCUGUGAAGAUGCAGUGUACCCGCGGCAAGACGGAAAGACCCCGUGAACCUUUACUAUAGCUUGACACUGAACAUUGAGCCUUGAUGUGUAGGAUAGGUGGGAGGCUUUGAAGUGUGGACGCCAGUCUGCAUGGAGCCGACCUUGAAAUACCACCCUUUAAUGUUUGAUGUUCUAACGUGGACCCGUAAUCCGGGUUGCGGACAGUGUCUGGUGGGUAGUUUGACUGGGGCGGUCUCCUCCUAAAGAGUAACGGAGGAGCACGAAGGUUGGCUAAUCCUGGUCGGACAUCAGGAGGUUAGUGCAAUGGCAUAAGCCAGCUUGACUGCGAGCGUGACGGCGCGAGCAGGUGCGAAAGCAGGUCAUAGUGAUCCGGUGGUUCUGAAUGGAAGGGCCAUCGCUCAACGGAUAAAAGGUACUCCGGGGAUAACAGGCUGAUACCGCCCAAGAGUUCAUAUCGACGGCGGUGUUUGGCACCUCGAUGUCGGCUCAUCACAUCCUGGGGCUGAAGUAGGUCCCAAGGGUAUGGCUGUUCGCCAUUUAAAGUGGUACGCGAGCUGGGUUUAGAACGUCGUGAGACAGUUCGGUCCCUAUCUGCCGUGGGCGCUGGAGAACUGAGGGGGGCUGCUCCUAGUACGAGAGGACCGGAGUGGACGCAUCACUGGUGUUCGGGUUGUCAUGCCAAUGGCACUGCCCGGUAGCUAAAUGCGGAAGAGAUAAGUGCUGAAAGCAUCUAAGCACGAAACUUGCCCCGAGAUGAGUUCUCCCUGAGACUUUAAGUCUCCUGAAGGAACGUUGAAGACGACGACGUUGAUAGGCCGGGUGUGUAAGCGCAGCGAUGCGUUGAGCUAACCGGUACUAAUGAACCGUGAGGCUUAACCUU